GGUCUAAUAGUGUAGAGGUUAUCACACGGGAUUUUGAUAGUAUCUCGCCGGUUUACGUAGUUCACUUCCCGUAACCCAGGUUCGAGUCCUGGUUAGACCU
Molecule: non-coding RNA, 100 nt
Organism: Rhodocollybia butyracea
Lineage: Eukaryota; Fungi; Basidiomycota; Agaricomycetes; Agaricales; Omphalotaceae
Source: the annotation of a GenBank genome assembly